Long non-coding RNA from Tribolium castaneum (red flour beetle), 1852 nucleotides. RefSeq lists it as uncharacterized. The transcript is spliced from 3 exons. The record is from RefSeq and is a predicted model, not a curated record. Lineage: Eukaryota; Metazoa; Arthropoda; Insecta; Coleoptera; Tenebrionidae.
CAUGCUUUAGCAAAUAAAACAUUUUACGCGCUCGACCCACUGAUGCUAGACAUUGCUCUGACCAUCCUAACUUAUCAUUUACAAUGACCCCUAGAUCUUUGGUUGAGGUUUUUACACUCAGGAGUGUGCCAUUUAUAUGGUAAAGGUACUUUGGGUUGUUGUGGCCACACUGAAGUACACAGCAUUUUGCAAUAUUUAGUGGUAUUUGCCACUUCUCGCUCCAUUGGAAGAUUAAAUUAAGUUGGUCUUGCAAGUCCGUGACAAGUGGGUUAGCAAAUAACUUAAUAUCAUCCGCAUAUGCUGAAUAGCUGUCCAGUGAAAACAAUAAAUCUGCUGUAUAUAACAAGAAUAAAAUUGGUCCAAGAACUGAUCCCUGUGGGACCCCACUUAAUACUGGUUUAGAGUACGAAAAUUUACCACAGACUUUUACACAAUAGUUUCGAUUUGAUAGAAACGCUCGGAUCCAAUCAAGCAAAUUUCCUGUUACACCAUAGGACUCCAGUUUUGCUAACAAGAGAUUGUGAGGGACUUUAUCAAAGGCUUUACUAAAAUCAAGAAAAAUUAUGUCUACAGGUUGGUUAGUGUCUAACAUUUUUGUCCAUAGAUUUGUGCAGGAUAGCAAAUUUGUGACAACUGACCUACCUGGUAAAAAGCCGUGCUGAUGCUCAGCAUGUCGACGUGAGACUUACAGGUCUAUAGUUAGCAGGAUCAAGUUUAUCUCCUGACUUGUACAAAGGCGUGAUUGUUGCUUGCAACCACUCGUAGGGCAAAGUGCCUUGUAAGAAUGAUUUUGUCAUCAUUUUGGCAAGUGGGCCCGACAACGAAGCAGCACAAGUUCUCAGGAGUUUGGGAGGUAUCUGAUCCGGACCUGGAGCUGUAUUUAAUUUAAUGGCACAGAGUUGGCUUUUUACCAGAUCCGGAGUAAAAUUAAUAUAAGACAACCCACUAAAUGUAGCAGCAAAACUGUCCGCUAAAGUGUUUGCAGUUUCUGUAUGAUCGGAGCAGAGUAGACCUGAAGCAUUUCGUACUAAAGGGACCGACACACGACUAGAGAUAAAUUUACGUACAUGGGAAUAAAAUAGUUUUGGUUUAUUUAAUAUAGAAUUUUCAUAAUUACACCUGGCUAUUUGUAAAUCAGAUUUUAGUUGGUUAGAAAAUCUUUUAUAAGCAGAAAAAUUAUCUUCAGUAGGCUUCCUUUUAAAUUUUUUCCAUAAUUUAGCUUUGUAUUUUAUUUUGUCAAGCAUGUGUUGAUUUAUCCACGGUUUAUCUUUUCUCAGUCGGUUUGUAAACAGUCUGGAAUUUGUUGUAAUGCAAGUUUGUAAAAUCGAUUUAAAAUGUUUCCAUUGUUCUUCCGCAUUUAGUGAAUCUAAACCAUUCCAGUCGUAAGUCAAGAGACUUUCGUCUAUGCGAGUGUAGUCAACAAUUGAUGUUGUUUUAAUUCUUGCAUUUGGCUCUGAAUAUAUCAUAAUUUGUAACUCAAUUUCGAUUUUUGAAUGAUCAGAUGUACCUACAGGAUUCGAAACGUUUAAAGACGAUACAAGGUUAACGUCAGACAAAAUUACCAAAUCAAGUAAUGAAGGACGUUGUUGGGAUCUAAAUCGUGUAGGUUCAGUGACUAUUUGUGACAAAUUAUUCUCCAAGAGCAAUUCAGAAAAUUGUUUUUCGAUGAUUGUUUGACCUGUUGUGUUUUUAGCAGACCAGUCUAUACAUGGAAAAUUGAAAUCUCCCAUGAUAAUUAAGUUAGGAUACUGAUUAAUAGUUGAUUGUAUGGUAUUAAAUAGAUUUUUAUCAUUUUCGUGAUUGUUAAAAGACGCUCCUGUUGGUGGUCUGUAAAUACAUGCUAUAACAAAGG